Molecule: non-coding RNA, 70 nt
Organism: Podarcis lilfordi (Lilford's wall lizard)
Lineage: Eukaryota; Metazoa; Chordata; Lepidosauria; Squamata; Lacertidae
Source: the annotation of a GenBank genome assembly
GCCAUAGCUCAGCAGUAGAGCAUUUGCCCUGCAUGCAGGAGGUCCCAGGUUCAAAUCCCCGCCAGCUCCA